RNAcentral lists this long non-coding RNA (247 nucleotides) under Lathyrus oleraceus (garden pea). Its description in RNAcentral is "Pisum sativum (pea) long non-coding RNA (PSAT_LNC007710)". Lineage: Eukaryota; Viridiplantae; Streptophyta; Magnoliopsida; Fabales; Fabaceae. The record is from RNAcentral.
UAUAUAUUUUCGACUUAAUAAUUUUAUUUUUUAAUUUUGUAUUUUAUAUUCAUGUUCAUUUUAGCCUUUUAAUUUAAAAAAGUUUAUAUCUAAACAAAAUAAUCCAGUUUAGAUAUUAUUGUUAGAUUAUCAUAAUUUUAGGAUUUUUAUGCUUCUUUGGUUAGCUAACACUUGUUCAUUUAGCUUGUAAUUGUGUAUAAUUGUGUAUUAAUUAUAUGUUCUCUUCAUGGGUCUCUUUUAGUUUUAA